RNAcentral lists this long non-coding RNA (392 nucleotides) under Homo sapiens (human). RNAcentral describes it as "HSALNT0304187". The record is from RNAcentral. Lineage: Eukaryota; Metazoa; Chordata; Mammalia; Primates; Hominidae.
UGCUCUGGGAACAUGCAAAUGAGCAGGGGAAGGGGCAGGCUGGGCACAGCUGCAGGGCUGGCUCAUCUCAGUAACUCAGCACCGGCUCAGUGUCCCCAGGUGUCCCAGAACUCAACGCUCCAGGCAUCAUCUUGAAAGCGGAGAAAGCAGACCAUGUGGUUGAUCUUCAGUUAUCCUGAGUCAGCAGGUGGGCCAUUUACAUCACCACGACAGUGUCCACAGGAGUUCCAGUUCCCUAAAUUCUCACCAAGACUGGUCAUCCUCUGUUGGAAAAAAACAUUCUAACAGGCAUCAGUUUCUGGCAAUACUUUCUCUAUGGUAGAGUCUGGAAAGGCUACUCCUCAUGUCCUUGGCUUCCUAAGUCCCAGAUGUGGUGAAGAAUGCCCAUCAGC